UACGAAGGGAGCUAGCGUUGUUCGGAAUUACUGGGCGUAAAGGGCGCGUAGGCGGCUUAACAAGUCAGUGGUGAAAUCCCGGGGCUCAACCUCGGAAUUGCCUUUGAAACUGUUAAGCUAGAGUUUUGUAGGGGAUAGUGGAAUUUCUAGUGUAGGGGUGAAAUCCGUAGAUAUUAGAAGGAACACCAGUGGCGAAGGCGGCUAUCUGGACAAAUACUGACGCUGAGGCGCGAAAGUGUGGGGAGCAAACAGG
RNAcentral lists this ribosomal RNA (253 nucleotides) under uncultured bacterium. RNAcentral's name for it is "partial 16S ribosomal RNA". It matches the Rfam family "Bacterial small subunit ribosomal RNA", at positions 524 to 776 of the family's 1533-position model. The record is from RNAcentral.